UGUUAUGUUAAAUAGUUACUUGUGAGUUUUUUUUUAAUUUCUUAUCUCAUUUCUAAAAAAGAAAUACUCUUUGCACUGAUUCAAUACUGCAUAUGUUUUUUUUUUCAUUUCAGGACAAUUGUGAAAUUUUCUAGAUCAUAACCUGUAACUGUGAAAAGUAAGAACUCGUCAAAGACGCCAUUUUGAACUGUAUCGGCCAUUUUUAUUUCAUAGUUAAUGUCACCUGUUACAUUAAAUAAUAAUAUGUUUGUAUUUACGUGCUUGUAUUGAAAUAAAUGAUCCAUUAUUUUUUAAUAAUUUUUAAACCAUAUUUAAAAACAUACGUCAAAUUUUGACUUGUUAAACGGCGCCAUUUUGAAUAUUGCCGCCAUUUUGAAAAUAUUAUCUAUGCACCCAGGCAUUAAUGAUACAUUGUAGGCCUUUGUCGAUAUCAAAUGAUCAGUUUCACGGAUUUGGUAACUUUCUAUCACACAAUAAUGGUGUACAUAUACGAAUACUGUCAAACUUAGACAUUUUUACGCGCCAUUUUGAAUUUGGAUGCCAUUUUGAUGAUUUCUGUAUUAUAAGGUUUAAAAAAAUAAUAAUUGACAUAUCUUAAUUGUAUUUCCUUAAGUUUGUGACAUCUUCUGAACUCAUUAAAAUUGGAAGACUUCAUCAAGUGAAUUAUGUCAUACUAAUGUCGGCCAUCUUGAAUUUGGCGGCCAUAUUGGAUUUUUUUUUCGUGGCUCCAUAUCUGAAUUUUGUCUAUACCCCUUAAUCUUUCACUAUGCUAAGUUUCAUGCUUUUACCAUAAAGUGAUAAAAUAUU
RNAcentral lists this long non-coding RNA (807 nucleotides) under Mytilus galloprovincialis (Mediterranean mussel). Lineage: Eukaryota; Metazoa; Mollusca; Bivalvia; Mytilida; Mytilidae. The record is from RNAcentral.